UCUCUUGUACCAGAGCAUCC
RNAcentral lists this unclassified non-coding RNA (20 nucleotides) under Mus musculus (house mouse). RNAcentral's name for it is "oocyte_clustered_small_RNA5043". The record is from RNAcentral. Lineage: Eukaryota; Metazoa; Chordata; Mammalia; Rodentia; Muridae.